Long non-coding RNA from Apis mellifera (honey bee), 3359 nucleotides. RefSeq lists it as uncharacterized. The record is from RefSeq and is a predicted model, not a curated record. The transcript is spliced from 3 exons. NCBI's taxonomy places the organism in Eukaryota, Metazoa, Arthropoda, Insecta, Hymenoptera, Apidae.
AUGAAAAAUUCCAAAAGAUAAAAAAUUAACAAAUUAUGUAUUGUAGCACAAUGGCAUGAUAAAUACCACAAUGUUGAAAAACAAAUUGACGAUCACGAUGGAAAGAUUCGUGCGAUUUAACGAGUGCACUGGCUCCACGGCGAAAAGACCCCCAACCCCCGGCACAAUCUCCGUCAAUUUAUCUACCGCGGUGCAUUUAAUUCCCCAAUUACGGGAAACUUUCAUUGCACAUGAUAAUUGCGAUCCCGCUUCCUAAUUAAACCCCAUUAAUCUCUUAUUACGGAGUUGCCGUUGAUUCAUCCCCGUUUUAUAUCGCGUAAUAGAAGAAGAGGAAACGUAAUGAAAGAAAGAGGAGCGGGCGGAAAAAAAAAAGAGGCACAAAUUAAUAAAAGAAGCACGUUUUUAUCUGGUUCUCUUAAGCUGGCCGACAGCCGAGAGCCGACUGUAUUCGUUUUAAAAUCUCCAAACCGGAACAAUGGCCUGGCUGGAUGGAUAAUGAAAAAAACAACGGCAAAAGAGGGAGGAUAGGAGGAUGGACAGAAAGAAGAUGGCGGAGAAAAAGAAAAAGAAAAGGUUGGAAAAAAAACUGCCUAUGGUAACGUGACAGAGUUACGAUUAAUACAGUGAAGGCACACGACCAUACUUGGUCAAUUUUCUUCCUUUUCUUUUUUUCUUCAUUCCCUUUCUUCCCUUUUCUUCUCUUCUUUUCUUUCUUAUUAUCCCCUUCUAGCCUCGAUUAACUCGCGCGAACGAGUAGUCGUGUCCUUAUAUCGCGGCUCAAUCGCCGCGGAGGAGGCGGCAGCGCUUUUUAAAUAACUAUAAUGAGGGCAAUUAUCGUGUGCGCCGACAAGCAGAGUGUGACGAGUCGUUGUUACACAUUACAGCAUGGAGAAUCGCUCGAGCUAGAUGAAGGAAUGGUAUGAAGGGCUGAAAGGUGACAGAGGAUUGUAACGCAAUACGCAUUAAAGUGAGAGAUUUGAAGAAAAGAGAGAAAAAGAAAAGCUGAGAUAUCUGAGAGAUUAGAAACAGUGAAAACUAGAAUAUUUAUUUAAUAAAAUAGAAAGUAAUUGUUGAAUAGAUUAUUGAAUAAUAUCGAAUACGGAUAAAGAUGAUGCAAGAACAAGAGUGUCGAAAGAAGAAAAAUAUUAAGUAAGAUGGCGUUGCCAAGUAGUGCCAACACACGGACAGAAAGAAAAAUGGAAGGCUAACAUUCUAUCAACGACGAAGAAGAGUAUAAAAAAAAAAAAAAAGGAAAAAAGAAAAGAAUUAGAAAGAAUAGAAUAGACGGUUGAAUCGAAGAGGGAAGAGGAAGUGACAGUGGAGGAGAAGCGAAGAGGCGCAUCAGAAGAGAGAGGAGAGACAGGCAGCGCGUGGCAGCAGGCCUCUCCUCCUCCUCCAGUAACUAAUGCCCCGAUACGUGCAACCACCUCCGCCAGUCGAGGCCUUAACUACUUUCUUAUUCGCUCGUUUCAGGCCAGCCUUACGGGCCCAUGCAUAAUGCCACACAGCGCUCCUUACGCAUGCUGAACGCUGAACACGCUCCUUCCACCGCUUCUCCUCUCGCGCCAUCUUCCUCCACCUCCGCCUCCUCGUGCUGUUCGUCCACCUCCGCCUCCCCGGAACAUUGUACCCCGAGAGGAACUGCGGGUCAGAGACUGCGAGGCAUAUUCGACGCAGACUCGUGGCUCGUGCCUAGAUCCAUUGGCGUCUGACUCGGCUGAAUUCUGCUGGUUGAAAUAUUCUGUUGUUGUAGGACAAUGUACCUAUAAAGAAUCAUAUAUCAUAUAAAUAUAAUUAUAUUUUUAUUCAAUUCUUUAUAUUCAAAGAAGUAGAUUUUUAUUUGGAAAAUAAAAUUCUCUUACAAAUAUAUCUGUUUACUCCUGAUUGUUAUUUAUAUUAUAUUCAAAACUGCACAUAGUACACAAAUAUAAUCUGUAAUAAUAAUACUAUUAGUAUUGAACUAUUACUAUCAACAUAUACAAAAUUAAAAGAAGUUUUUAAUCUUUCCUUUUUCAUCAUUUUCAAAAUCAAAAUUUCUUCUCUAACAAAGAUUUCUUCCAACAGAGAACUGGAAAGAAACAUAAGAAUGAAGGAGUUCAUGCGAAGAAGAUUCGCGUAGAAGGCAAUUCUCCGGCUUUAGUCGGGCGACGCCGAUGCGCUAAUAUAACAAGAAACGUGGCGGCUGUUGCGCCGAGCGUACGGGAGCGAAGUAGCCUCGCUUAUGGUCCGGUGGUGCCCGAGGAGCAUAACAGCUCGCAGAGCAUAACGCCACGAGCCAUCAUAUCCUCCUUCCAGAAACCCUCUCCGAAGGUGUUCCACCUUCACCUCCUCGCCUACCCCUCGCCCACGUUCAAAUCGGUGCUCCCCCCGACGCCGCGAGAGAGCACGAGUCAUCCUGGCGAGUGUACGCGUCACGCGUGUCUGUCGCUGCGUGGGGAUACACGCUCUAGGAAGUGGAUGAGACGCAUGCAAGUCUGGCCACCUGGGACGAGGCUCUGAUCAAACGAGACAGAUGAAGAUUGACGAACUUUUAUGAAAGCUCUUGUAGACCAACAGGUAAUUUUUGGAGCAGAUUUUUAAAGAAUCUGAAAUUUGUUUUAAAAAAUUAAUAAAAGAGCCACUUUUUUAAUAGAAUUAAUUUAAAAAAAAGAAAACGAACUCUGUAUGGAAAAAAAUCAAAUUUCCCGUUCGCGAAAUAAAUUCGAACGAGGAAAGCGACAUAUCCCCGAACUGCACGCGAAUCGAAGGAAACAGGAAGAAGAGGAGAGAAAGAAGUGCAUGCACACACGUAUGCGAUGCUUAUGGUCGCGUGGUUGCAUGUGUACAGGGGGAAUGUUCGAGCGCGUGCACGUACAUACAUUACGUUUAUACACAGGUAUUGUCGGCUUCCGCGAACUAGAUCGGCCGAGCAGAUAUUAGAAGCGCGUCUGCCCCGUUGCCAUUGCGGCAAGUGCUGGUCAUUGUCCACCCGGCGGGCACAGGAAGUCGACGCCGACCAGCGAUGGUGCAGAGAGAAGAGGAAGAGAUUUUUCGGUAGGAUAAUCGCUGGAGAAACUACGACAAGUUUCAAGAUUCUUGGGGAUUGUUGGAACGUUAAUGUGCAAAGUUUUAUGGUUAUUCCGAGAAUUCGACUAAGAUAUUUAGGUAGACAAAGUUUCUCUGAGAAUUGUAAUGUAGGUUAAUUUUAGACUGCUGGGAUAAGUUUGGAUUGAGCAGAAAAAUAAGUGGAAUAAUGACUGUUUUAAAUAUAUUUAACUUUUAUAGAUUAUGAGAUUGAUGUAACAAAGAAAGAUAAUUAUAUAUUUAUGAUAAUUUUUGUUACAGAUAUCUGGAAAAUUAUGAAAAAAGUAAUAUUUAAA